This 79-nucleotide transfer RNA is filed under the name Apiotrichum porosum. Its description in RNAcentral is "Trichosporon porosum tRNA". It matches the Rfam family "tRNA". Rfam says of the family: Transfer RNA (tRNA) molecules are approximately 80 nucleotides in length. Their secondary structure includes four short double-helical elements and three loops (D, anti-codon, and T loops). The record is from Rfam by way of RNAcentral. Lineage: Eukaryota; Fungi; Basidiomycota; Tremellomycetes; Trichosporonales; Trichosporonaceae.
GGUCGCGUGGCCAAAUGGUACGGCGUCUGACUACGACUAGUUGAUCAGGAGAUCGCGGGUUCGAUCCCCGUCGUGACCU